CAACUCACACCCAUCAGAGACCCGUUCAUCGCCGCCUUACUCCGCCCACCGAAAAUCGCCUACGGCGGCGGCCGACGGCCAAUCACCUCUAAAUUUACACCCUUGAAUCUCCUCCACCUCCCCAUACCAAAUCCCCAUUUCAUUGAACUCAAAUCCCCUUGAAACUCUUCGAAGAAACGGAACCCUAGCGGCGCCUAAUUUCUCUGGUGGAGACGCCACCUCCAAACGACCCAAAAUCAAUACCCUAGAACCUCUCCAGUCUCCUCGUUCCAAAUCCUCACUCCAUCCCCUUCAAAUUCGCCAGAGCGGCUCGAAUCCUAAAUCGAAAAUUUGAGUUCUAAGAUACAAAUCCAAACCUGGGCGUAUAUGAUGUUUGUUCCAACCCGCAUGAUUUUUUUGAGCCGACUUUGUCAUAUAGUGUUGUUCACUUUUGUUUGACAAAGGACAAACGACUAACAUUAUUUGGGGAUGAAGUUGGAGUGUCAGGUCUCGAGUUCGAGUUUAGCCAGUGAGUUCCAUUUCAUUUUUGGGUCUAUUCUAGUUCCAUUUUCAUUUAUUGUCCCUCUCCUUUUCCUUUUUCUUUUCAUUAUUUGAAAUUUCACAAAAUUUUUGGCCAAGUUUGGGAUAUGUCUGUUUGGUCUUCGUUUGAUUUUCAUUUUGUUCUUUUGUUGCCAAGACUGUUUUCCGGUCCCGCUUGAUUUAUUUGGUUUCU
Molecule: long non-coding RNA, 712 nt
Filed under: Nicotiana benthamiana
Lineage: Eukaryota; Viridiplantae; Streptophyta; Magnoliopsida; Solanales; Solanaceae
Description: long non-coding RNA (NBEN_LNC020419)
Source: RNAcentral